CUGGUUGAUCCUGCCGGAGAUCACCGCUAUAAGGUUUGGAUUUAACCCAUGCUAGUCUCUGGGUAAUACCAGGGCGCAAGGCUGAGUAACGCGUAGAUAACCUGCCCUAUGGUCGGGAAUAAGCUCGCGAAAGUGAGUAGAAUACCCGAUAGGAAAUAUUCUCUGGAACGAAAUAUUUCUCAAACUCGUGCCAUAGGAUGGGUCUGCGGUGGAUUAGGCUGUUGUUAGUGUAACGAACUAACAAACCUAUAAUCCAUAGGGGCUAUGAGAGUAGUGGCCUCCAGAUGGGUUCUGAGACAAGAACCCAGGUCCUACGGGACGCAGCAGGGGCGAAACCUUCUCAAUGCGCGCAAGCGUGAAGGGGCAAGCCUUAGUGCCGGCCUUUGCUCGGCUUUUGCCAAGUUCAAAAGGCUUGGCGAAUAAGUGGUGGGCAAGACCGUUGCCAGCCGCCGCGGUAAUAACGGCUCCACAAGUGGUGAUCGCGUAUGUUGGGCCUAAAGCAUCCGUAGCCGGCUUAGUAAGUCUUCUGUGAAAUCCGGCAGAAAACUGUCGGGCGUGCAGGAGAUACUACUAGGCUUGGGACCGGGAAGGGUAGGAGGUACUUCCAGGGUAGGGGUGGAAUCCUGUAAUCCUGGAGGGACCACCUGUGGCGAAGGCGUCCUACUGGAACGGGUCCGACGGUGAGGGAUGAAAGCUGGGGGAGCAAAUGGGAUUAGAGACCCCAGUAGUCCCAGCUGUAAACGAUGCCCGCUAGGUAUUAGGAUUCCCACGUGGAAUUCUAGUGCCGUAGGGAAGCCAUUAAGCGGGCCGCCUGGGAAGUACGGUCGCAAGGCUGAAACUUAAAGGAAUUGGCGGGGGAUCACACAAGGGGUGCAGUCUGCGGUUCAAUUGGACUCAACGCCGGGAACCUCACCAGGGGUGACAGCAGGAUGAUGGUCAGUCUGAAGGGCUUACCUGACGCGCUGAGAGGUAUUGCAUGGCCGACGUCAGCUCGUGCCGUGAGGUGUCGUGUCAAGUCAUGUAACGAGCGAGACCCGCACUGUAUGUUGCCAUUCUGUCAGCAAUGACGGGGGCACUCAUGCAGGACAGCUCGCGCUAAGUGAGAGGAAGGUGCGGUCAACGUUAGGUCAGUAUGGUCCGAAUCCCUUGGGCUACACGCGGGCGACAAUGGUCGGGACAAUAGGAUGCAACGCCGAAAGGCGAAGCUAAUCCCUGAAACCCGAUCUCAGUUCAGAUUGUGGGUUGCAACUCACCCACAUGACGCCGGAAUCCCUAGUAAUCGAGUGUUAGCAUCGCUCGAUGAAUACGUCCCUGAUCCUUGCACACAC
Molecule: ribosomal RNA, 1328 nt
Filed under: uncultured archaeon
Lineage: Archaea
Description: bacterial SSU rRNA
Rfam family: Archaeal small subunit ribosomal RNA
Source: RNAcentral